UUUCCGUAGGUGAACCUGCGGAAGGAUCAUUCAUAAUAAGUGUUUUAUGGCACUUUUUUAAAUCCAUAUCCACCUUGUGUGUAAUGUCAGGGUUGAUUUUCCUCUCGAGAGGAUCAACCCCAAACAUCAACUAUAUCUCAACUCUUUGUCUGAAAAAUAUUAUGAAUAAAACAAUUCAAAAUACAACUUUCAACAACGGAUCUCUUGGCUCUC
Molecule: unclassified non-coding RNA, 213 nt
Filed under: plant metagenome
Description: partial contains small subunit ribosomal RNA, internal transcribed spacer 1, and 5.8S ribosomal RNA
Source: RNAcentral